This 999-nucleotide long non-coding RNA is filed under the name Zalophus californianus (California sea lion). Its description in RNAcentral is "lncRNA (ENSZCAG00015017140.1)". Lineage: Eukaryota; Metazoa; Chordata; Mammalia; Carnivora; Otariidae. The record is from RNAcentral.
GAUACCUCUAACCACAGACAAGCCGCGAAACACUGCUCUAUACUACCGAGUGCCUUUAGUGACCCACAGCACAGCUAAGACGUCCAGGAACCAUCUACAGAUUCUUCCCAGGGUGGGGAUUGAGGGGCUCUCGAUCCAGUGGGGUCCGAUCUGCCCGUCUCCACCUUUCGGAAUCUCGAGGGGAAAUGAGGCUUCCCUUCGACUUCUGAGCUCAGCCGGACCCCACCCGGGGCCCCAGGGGACGCCUGCUCAGAGAUGGAGUGAUUAGGAAGCAGGGGGCGCAGACAGCCACCCCGAGGUACCAGAGAAGUAUAGGGAGUCGGGCCAGGCUCACCGGGCUGCCCAAGGGGGUGGGCGCCUGGAGCUAGUCGGCGGCAGGGCUGGGGUGCGGGGAGGGGCGACACUUACCCGGAGGCUGCCGAGCAGGAGGCGGCGGUCGGCCGGGGCGGCUGCAGUAAUCCAUUAGGCGCUGCCGGGCUACGCGCACUGGGGGCGGCAGGGAUCCGCUCAUGUUGGAGAAGGAGUCGCCUCGGAACCGCGCGGCUGCAGUCACCCGGAGCAGGCCGGCUGCUCCUGGCGGGCGGUGUCCGCGCCGGCGGGGGCCUCGGCGCCCAGGGCUCCUUCCGGGCUCUCCCGCCCGCCGGGCUCCCCACCGGCUCCGGAGGCGGCAGCGGCGCGGCCCGAGCUAAGCGGCGAUGGGGCCACGUUGGGCGCCGGGCGGGAGCGGAGGCCGCCGCGGACCCCGCAAUCCCGCAGCCGGCGACUGGAUCCCACCUCUGCAGAGACAAAGAUGCCGGAAGAAUCAGCAAACACCAGGGAAGCAGAGGACACAAGCUUGGAUGUGAAAUAGCAACAUCUUACGCAUUGAAGAAUAAUAAAACAAUGUUUUUAAUUACAAAAGAAAAUGUGUAAGAAUAUGUGGGGCAAAUUUGGGGGCCCUUCCAAGCUAGAAUACUUUACACUGAUCUGUACGUAUGGAGCUGAACAGAGAUUGCUCAC